RNAcentral lists this ribosomal RNA (377 nucleotides) under uncultured eukaryote. Its description in RNAcentral is "partial 18S ribosomal RNA". It matches the Rfam family "Eukaryotic small subunit ribosomal RNA", at positions 592 to 976 of the family's 1831-position model. The record is from RNAcentral.
CAAUAGCGUAUAUUAAAGUUGUUGCAGUUAAAAAGCUCGUAGUUGGAUUUCGGGGCAGCCUGGCUGGUCCGCCGCAAGGCGAGCACUGGUCAGCCGCCCUUCCUCUCGAAAGCCCCGACUGCUCUUUAUUGCAGUGGUCGGGUAGUUCGGGACGUUUACUUUGAAAAAAUUAGAGUGUUCAAGGCAGGCCUACGCCUGAAUACAUUAGCAUGGAAUAAUGGAAGAGGACCUCGGUCCUAUUUUGUUGGUUUCCAGGACCGAAGUAAUGAUUAAGAGGGACAGUUGGGGGCAUUCGUAUUUAAUUGUCAGAGGUGAAAUUCUCGGAUUUAUGAAAGAUGAACAACUGCGAAAGCAUUUGCCAAGGAUGUUUUCAUUAA